RNAcentral lists this ribosomal RNA (253 nucleotides) under uncultured bacterium. RNAcentral describes it as "partial 16S ribosomal RNA". It matches the Rfam family "Bacterial small subunit ribosomal RNA", at positions 524 to 776 of the family's 1533-position model. The record is from RNAcentral.
UACGUAGGGUGCGAGCGUUGUCCGGAAUCAUUGGGCGUAAAGCGCGCGUAGGUGGCCUCAUAAGUCCGCUGUGAAAGUCAAAGGCUCAACCUUUGAAAGCCGGUGGAUACUGUGGGGCUAGAGUACGGAAGAGGCGAGUGGAAUUCCUGGUGUAGCGGUGGAAUGCGCAGAUAUCAGGAGGAACACCAAUAGCGAAGGCAGCUCGCUGGGACGUUACUGACACUGAGGCGCGAAAGCGUGGGGAGCGAACAGG